GUGAGGAAUAUUGGUCAAUGGACGAGAGUCUGAACCAGCCAAGUAGCGUGAAGGAUGACUGCCCUAUGGGUUGUAAACUUCUUUUAUAAGGGAAUAAAGUGAGGGACGUGUCCCUUUUUGUAUGUACCUUAUGAAUAAGGAUCGGCUAACUCCGUGCCAGCAGCCGCGGUAAUACGGAGGAUCCAAGCGUUAUCCGGAUUUAUUGGGUUUAAAGGGAGCGUAGGUUGACAUAUAAGUCAGCUGUGAAAGUUUACGGCUCAACCGUGAAAUUGCAGUUGAUACUGUAUGUCUUGAGUGUACAAGAGGUGGGCGGAAUUCGUGGUGUAGCGGUGAAAUGCUUAGAUAUCACGAAGAACUCCAAUUGCGAAGGCAGCUCACUGGGGUACAACUGACACUGAGGCUCGAAAGUGUGGGUAUCAAACAGGAUUAGAUACCCUGGUAGUCC
Molecule: ribosomal RNA, 445 nt
Filed under: uncultured bacterium
Lineage: Bacteria
Description: partial 16S ribosomal RNA
Rfam family: Bacterial small subunit ribosomal RNA
Source: RNAcentral